Molecule: small RNA, 135 nt
Filed under: Salmonella enterica subsp. enterica serovar Enteritidis
Lineage: Bacteria; Pseudomonadati; Pseudomonadota; Gammaproteobacteria; Enterobacterales; Enterobacteriaceae
Description: RtT sRNA
Rfam family: RtT RNA
About the family: This family represents a bacterial cis-regulatory element known as RtT RNA. The exact function of RtT is unknown although it is thought that it may be involved in changing the cellular response in relation to amino acid starvation.
Source: RNAcentral
UAUCCCCCAAACCAAGGGGGGAUGAGAACCACCGACCGGGGUUCGACAACUGGCGCAGCCAGUUGGACAGACGACGAGCUUGCGAGGAGACUGCCCGAAGGGCGAGCGCAGCGAGUCAAUCCCCCGCUCCCCGCA